RNAcentral lists this ribosomal RNA (914 nucleotides) under Globisporangium pleroticum. RNAcentral's name for it is "eukaryotic LSU rRNA". The stretch from base 259 to 413 matches the Rfam family "5.8S ribosomal RNA". The record is from RNAcentral. Lineage: Eukaryota; Oomycota; Peronosporomycetes; Pythiales; Pythiaceae.
CAUUACCACACCAAAAAACAACUUUCCACGUGAACUGUCUUACGAGAUUCGCGCCGUGACGCGUGUUGACGCUGUGUGUGUCUGUGUCUUCUUUCGAGAGGAUAUUGUGAUGCAAACAGUGUUGACCGUGUGGGUCGGCUGAUCGAAGGUCGCUUUGUGCAUUAUUGUAUGGAGCGGCUGACUUAUUCUUUCAAACCCAUUACACAAUACUACUGAUUCAUACUGUGAGGACGAAAGUCUUUGCUUUUACUAGAUAACAACUUUCAGCAGUGGAUGUCUAGGCUCGCACAUCGAUGAAGAACGCUGCGAACUGCGAUACGUAAUGCGAAUUGCAGAAUUCAGUGAGUCAUCGAAAUUUUGAACGCAUAUUGCACUUUCGGGUUAUGCCUGGAAGUAUGUCUGUAUCAGUGUCCGUAAAUCAACCUUGCCUCUCUUUGUCGGUGUAGUCCGGCUUGGAGUGUGCAGAUGUGAAGUGUCUCGCGCUACGUCAGUUUGAUGCUAUGCAAUAAGACUAGGCGCGCGAGUCCUUUGAAAACGACACGAUCUUUCUAUUGCUUUCUGUGGAGCGCGACAAUUGAACGCGGCGGUCUUGGGAUCGCCUGCAGUCGAUAGCGACUUUGGCAGAGACAUAUGGAGGAUACCUCAUUUCGCGGUACGUUAGGCUUCGGCUCGACAAUGUUGCGUAGUGUGUGUGUUUUUCCGUCUUUGCUUUGAGGUGUACUGUUGAUUGUGGGCUUGAACCUGGGUUCUGUGUGUUAGUAGAGUGUGGCUGUCUCUGUGGUUUGCGUCUGCGUGCUAUUUCGGUCGCACGUAGGUAGGAGGGUUCCAUUUGGGAAACAUUGUACUGCGCACUGGAAAGUGUGUGUGUAUCUCACUUGGACCUGAUAUCAGACAAGACUACCCGCUGAACUUAA